Molecule: ribosomal RNA, 253 nt
Filed under: uncultured bacterium
Lineage: Bacteria
Description: partial 16S ribosomal RNA
Rfam family: Bacterial small subunit ribosomal RNA
Source: RNAcentral
UACGUAGGGCGCAAGCGUUGUCCGGAAUUAUUGGGCGUAAAGGGCUCGUAGGCGGUUUGUCGCGUCGGGAGUGAAAACCCAGGGCUUAACCCUGGGCUGGCUUUCGAUACGGGCAGACUAGAGGUAUGCAGGGGAGAACGGAAUUCCUGGUGUAGCGGUGAAAUGCGCAGAUAUCAGGAGGAACACCGGUGGCGAAGGCGGGUCUCUGGGCCGAUACUGACGCUGAGGAGCGAAAGCGUGGGGAGCGAACAGG